UUCAUCAACUAAAAUCGAUUUCGAUUUUAAAAAUCAAUUUUAAGGCCGAAUCAGUUUUAGCUUAAAACCGAUACAUGUGAGCUGUUUCAUCAAAUCGAUUUUAAGCUAAAAUAGAUUUUUAGGUGUCUGCAAUCAAGGCUAGUCAAUUUGGGGUAAAUCGAUCACAAAAUGGCCUUGCUUAACUACAGUGAGAGUCCUUGAAAAGUUGCAAAAUAAAGAGCUAUGGCAUCUGCAUGUACUGCUAGUUCAUGACAAAUGAACAUUUAUUGUCCAUCUCUUCAAAUUGAAAAGACUGCAGAGCCUGAAUUACCUGCAACGUUAGGCUUCUUAUGAAACAUCAGCCAGCCUACAGAUAGAAGCUUCCUUUUCCAGCUUUAAGCAAGAAGAACCACAAUGAGAUACAGAUCUUGGUAUCAUG
Molecule: long non-coding RNA, 418 nt
Organism: Strongylocentrotus purpuratus (purple sea urchin)
Lineage: Eukaryota; Metazoa; Echinodermata; Echinoidea; Camarodonta; Strongylocentrotidae
Exons: 3
Source: RefSeq, a predicted model, not a curated record